UCGACCUKAGUUCAGGUGAGGCUACCCGUCUGAACUUAAGCAUAUCAAUAAGCGGAGGA
Molecule: ribosomal RNA, 59 nt
Filed under: Ulva prolifera
Lineage: Eukaryota; Viridiplantae; Chlorophyta; Ulvophyceae; Ulvales; Ulvaceae
Description: partial 28S large subunit ribosomal RNA
Source: RNAcentral